UGUCCCUUGGUUAAACUAAUAAAUGCCCGAAAAAUAAUGACUCUCUCUCUCCAAGCUGCAGAAGGAGGACACCGACAACGGACGGUCCGUCUCAGGAUCUCUGGAGCAUCGGAGGAUCUGGCUCUCUACUGCCGAAGCAGGAGAUCAACAGAUCUGGGCCGACAGCAAAGCCUCCACUGGGGCCUUUGGUGGAUGACAGGAGUCAGUACCAAGGAAAAAGAAGUCAAGCCUCAGAGUCUACUGCCCUCAUGCGACGGAAAGUGAGUGAGAGCAGCGAGCCUGUGACCGUUGGUGAUGCCAGGCAAGAGGCCUCCAUCUGGGAGCCGAGCAAUCGCCAGUCUCGGUGAGGUAAGUGUCUGGUUUGGUGAGGACUCUGCUCACGCCCCACCUGAGUCCGGGUAGGGAAGCCCCGUAAAUUAGGGUUCGGUUUGUAAGAAAAGGUUCCUGAUCAGCUGUGGUUACGAGGGAGAAAAGGUCCCAUUUUCAGAGGCUGCUCGUUUCUCUGGUCAGGAACGGUGUCUCCUCCGCAGCAGAAGGUUGGAUCCAAGAGGAUGACUCCAGGUGGUGAGUGGCUUGCCCUGCUCUCAUGUUUCUCUGUCUUCUCUCGUGUGUUCGCCAACUCUCUCUCUCUCUUCUCUCCUCUUCUCUCCUCGUGCCGUGUCCCUUCACAGGACACGGGUAGGUGUGCAUUCCCACAGGUGAGGUCUCGGGAGCCAUGGAGAAGUC
Long non-coding RNA from Chelonia mydas (Green sea turtle), 726 nucleotides. RefSeq lists it as uncharacterized. Lineage: Eukaryota; Metazoa; Chordata; Testudines; Cheloniidae. The record is from RefSeq and is a predicted model, not a curated record. The transcript is spliced from 2 exons.